Molecule: ribosomal RNA, 498 nt
Filed under: uncultured bacterium
Lineage: Bacteria
Description: partial 16S ribosomal RNA
Rfam family: Bacterial small subunit ribosomal RNA
Source: RNAcentral
GACGAACGCUGGCGGCGUGCCUAAUACAUGCAAGUCGAACGAGAGCAACCGGUGCUUGCACUGGUCAAUCUAGUGGCGAACGGGUGAGUAACACGUGGGUAACCUGCCCAUCAGAGGGGGAUAACAUCCGGAAACGGAUGCUAAAACCGCAUAGGUCUUCGAACCGCAUGGUUUGAAGAGGAAAAGAGGCGCAAGCUUCUGCUGAUGGAUGGACCCGCGGUGCAUUAGCUAGUUGGUGAGGUGACGGCUCACCAAGGCCGUGAUGCAUAGCCGACCUGAGAGGGUGAUCGGCCACAUUGGGACUGAGACACGGCCCAAACUCCUACGGGAGGCAGCAGUAGGGAAUCUUCCGCAAUGGACGCAAGUCUGACGGAGCAACGCCGCGUGAGUGAAGAAGGUUUUCGGAUCGUAAAACUCUGUUGUUAGAGAAGAACAAGUGCUAGAGUAACUGUUAGCGCCUUGACGGUAGCUAACCAGAAAGCCACGGCUAACUACGUG